Molecule: long non-coding RNA, 504 nt
Organism: Nycticebus coucang (slow loris)
Lineage: Eukaryota; Metazoa; Chordata; Mammalia; Primates; Lorisidae
Exons: 3
Source: RefSeq, a predicted model, not a curated record
UCGCUCGCCCGCCUGCGCGUCCACGACGCGACCAACGAUUGGCAGAAGGCUGGCGGUCUGCUGGCGGUGGCACGUCGGUUUCUCUCGGACUGGCUUUCCAGUUGAGCCGUGAUUUCCUUGGAGCUGCAGACACACGCCAGGGGCUCCCACUCCGGGGCUGGCGGCAGCCGCAAUGGUCGGUCAGUGCGGCGGCUGAAGCCUCAGUUGCUGCCGCGGUCGCAGGGCGGUGCGCCGAGGCCAGUGCCGGGCGGUAGGCACGGCUGAGCUGAGGUGGCUGGUGCAGAGACGCAGCUCCUCGUCCUGCACCCACCGCUGCUGCGGGCAGUGCCGGGCGGUCGGGCUGCGCACUGGCGUUUGCGAGGCUGCCUCGGAGCGCCGUUCCCCCAAGAAGACUCCCUGCCUCCUGAGUCCCGGUGUCAGGCAGCUGAAGAUGAGAGCCUUUGUCAUACCUCAGCUGUGCAAGGAUGUCUGUGACCAACAGGGAGAAAGGAAGGUGGAUGACAG